GCACUGCUGAGGAGUCCCACGAUAGGACGAAACGGCCGUCCACUGC
Molecule: non-coding RNA, 46 nt
Organism: Schistosoma margrebowiei
Lineage: Eukaryota; Metazoa; Platyhelminthes; Trematoda; Strigeidida; Schistosomatidae
Source: Rfam